UUGAACGCUGGCGGUAUGCUUAACACAUGCAAGUCGAACGGAAACGAUGGUAGCUUGCUACCAGGCGUCAAGUGGCGGACGGGUGAGUAACGCGUAGGAAUCUGCCCAGUAGUGGGGGACAACCAGGGGAAACCCUGGCUAAUACCGCAUACACUCUACGGAGAAAAGGAGGCCUCUUCUUGAAAGCUUUCGCUAUUGGAUGAGCCUGCGUGAGAUUAGCUAGUUGGUAGGGUAAAGGCCUACCAAGGCGAUGAUCUCUAGCUGGUCUGAGAGGAUGAUCAGCCACACUGGGACUGAGACACGGCCCAGACUCCUACGGGAGGCAGCAGUGGGGAAUAUUGGACAAUGGGCGCAAGCCUGAUCCAGCAAUACCGCGUGUGUGAAGAAGGCCUGAGGGUUGUAAAGCACUUUCAAUUGGGAAGAAAAGCCUGAGGUUAAUAGCCUCGAGUCUUGACGUUAACUUUAGAACAAGCACCGGCUAACUCCGUGCCAGCAGCCGCGGUAAUACGGGGGGUGCACGCGUUAAUCGGAUUUACUGGGCGUAAAGCGCGCGUAGGUGGUUUGGCAAGUUGGAUGUGAAAGCCCCGAGCUCAACCUGGGAAUUGCAUCCAAAACUGCUAAGACUAGAGUGUGGAGAGGGAAGUGGAAUUCCGGGUGUAGCGGUGAAAUGCGUAGAUAUCCGGAGGAACACCAGUGGCCAAGGCGGCUUCCUGGACCAACACUGACGCGGAGGUGCGAAAGCGUGGGGAGCAAACAGGAUUAGAUCCCCUGGUAGUCCACUCCGUAAACGAUGUCAACUAGCCGUUGGGAGGCUUGACCUUUUAGUGGCGCAGCUAACGCGAUAAGUUGACCGCCUGGGGAGUACGGUCGCAAGAUUAAAACUCAAAUGAAUUGACGGGGGCCCGCACAAGCGGUGGAGCAUGUGGUUUAAUUCGAUGCAACGCGAAGAACCUUACCAGGCCUUGACAUCCUGCGAUCUUACUAGAGAUAGUUUGGUGCCUUCGGGAAUUCUGUGACAGGUGCUGCAUGGCUGUCGUCAGCUCGUGUCGUGAGAUGUUGGGUUAAGUCCCGCAACGAGCGCAACCCUUAUCCUAUGUUGCCAGCGCGUAAUGGCGGGGACUUUAAGGAGACUGCCGGUGAUAAACCGGAGGAAGGUGGGGACGACGUCAAGUCAUCAUGGCCCUUAUGGGUAGGGCUACACACGUGCUACAAUGGCUGGUACAGAGGGCUGCUAACUUGCGAGAGUACGCUAAUCCCUUAAAGCCGGUCCUAGUCCGGAUUGGAGUCUGCAACUCGACCCCAUGAAGUCGGAGUCGCUAGUAAUCGCAGAUCAGCCACGCUGCGGUGAAUACGUUCCCGGGCCUUGUACACACCGCCCGUCAAGGGCGAA
Molecule: ribosomal RNA, 1390 nt
Filed under: uncultured prokaryote
Description: partial 16S ribosomal RNA
Rfam family: Bacterial small subunit ribosomal RNA
Source: RNAcentral